AAAGGGGCUUCGGCUCCGAGUAAAGUGGCGCACGGGUGAGUAACACGUGGGUAACCUGCCUCUAAGACUGGGAUAACCUGUCGAAAGACGAGCUAAUACCGGAUAAGACCACAGCUCCUGAGGGAACAGCGGUCAAAGGUAGCCUCUGCAUGCAAGCUAUCACUUAGAGAUGGGCCUGCGCACCAUUAGCUAGUUGGUAGGGUAACGGCCUACCAAGGCAAAGAUGGUUAGCUGGUCUGAGAGGAUGAUCAGCCACACUGGAACUGAGACACGGUCCAGACUCCUACGGGAGGCAGCAGUGGGGAAUAUUGCGCAAUGGGCGAAAGCCUGACGCAGCAACGCCGCGUGAGUGAUGAAGGCCUUCGGG
This 367-nucleotide ribosomal RNA is filed under the name uncultured bacterium. RNAcentral describes it as "bacterial SSU rRNA". It matches the Rfam family "Bacterial small subunit ribosomal RNA", at positions 71 to 422 of the family's 1533-position model. The record is from RNAcentral.